Long non-coding RNA from Apodemus sylvaticus (European woodmouse), 296 nucleotides. RefSeq lists it as uncharacterized. The record is from RefSeq and is a predicted model, not a curated record. NCBI's taxonomy places the organism in Eukaryota, Metazoa, Chordata, Mammalia, Rodentia, Muridae. The transcript has 3 exons.
GUGCAUGGUGGUGCACACCUUUAAACCCAGCACUCAGGAGGCAAAGGAAGGCACAUUUUGUGCCCUCCCCACCUCCAAAUUGCCUCAGUUACAAAUCGGAAGGCAGGCUUGGUGACCAGGACUGGCAAGCACAUUUUAAAGUCCCAUGCUGUGGAGUUGAUCCAUCUCAACUUGAGUCAGAAGAGGCAGAAGUGGAUGUGAGAGAAAGAGACACACAGAGAGACAGAGAGCCAAAGAGGGCAAGAGACUUGACUUUAAGAGACUCCUGUACUGACAACUCUAUGCAGUUUGGAACC